Molecule: ribosomal RNA, 1355 nt
Filed under: Nocardia salmonicida subsp. cummidelens
Lineage: Bacteria; Bacillati; Actinomycetota; Actinomycetes; Mycobacteriales; Nocardiaceae
Description: bacterial SSU rRNA
Rfam family: Bacterial small subunit ribosomal RNA
Source: RNAcentral
CAGUCGAGCGGUAAGGCCCUUCGGGGUACACGAGCGGCGAACGGGUGAGUAACACGUGGGUGAUCUGCCUUGCACUUCGGGAUAAGCCUGGGAAACUGGGUCUAAUACCGGAUAUGACCACGGAAUGCAUGUUUUGUGGUGGAAAGAUUUAUCGGUGCGAGAUGGGCCCGCGGCCUAUCAGCUUGUUGGUGAGGUAACGGCUCACCAAGGCGACGACGGGUAGCCGACCUGAGAGGGUGACCGGCCACACUGGGACUGAGACACGGCCCAGACUCCUACGGGAGGCAGCAGUGGGGAAUAUUGCACAAUGGGCGAAAGCCUGAUGCAGCGACGCCGCGUGCGGGAUGACGGCCUUCGGGUUGUAAACCGCUUUUGACAGGGACGAAGCGCGAGUGACUGUACCUGUAGAAUAAGGACCGGCCAACUACGUGCCAGCAGCCGCGGUAAUACGUAGGGUCCGAGCGUUGUCCGGAAUUACUGGGCGUAAAGAGCUUGUAGGCGGUUCGUCGCGUCGUUUGUGAAAACUUGGGGCUCAACCUUAAGCUUGCAGGCGAUACGGGCGGACUAGAGUACUUCAGGGGAGACUGGAAUUCCUGGUGUAGCGGUGAAAUGCGCAGAUAUCAGGAGGAACACCGGUGGCGAAGGCGGGUCUCUGGGAAGUAACUGACGCUGAGAAGCGAAAGCAUGGGUAGCAAACAGGAUUAGAUACCCUGGUAGUCCAUGCCGUAAACGGUGGGUACUAGGUGUGGGGCUCCUUCCACGGACUCCGUGCCGUAGCUAACGCAUUAAGUACCCCGCCUGGGGAGUACGGCCGCAAGGCUAAAACUCAAAGAAAUUGACGGGGGCCCGCACAAGCGGCGGAGCAUGUGGAUUAAUUCGAUGCAACGCGAAGAACCUUACCUGGGUUUGACAUACACCGGAAACCUGCAGAGAUGUAGGCCCCCUUGUGGUCGGUGUACAGGUGGUGCAUGGCUGUCGUCAGCUCGUGUCGUGAGAUGUUGGGUUAAGUCCCGCAACGAGCGCAACCCUUAUCUUAUGUUGCCAGCGCGUAAUGGCGGGGACUCGUGAGAGACUGCCGGGGUCAACUCGGAGGAAGGUGGGGACGACGUCAAGUCAUCAUGCCCCUUAUGUCCAGGGCUUCACACAUGCUACAAUGGCCGGUACAGAGGGCUGCGAUACCGCGAGGUGGAGCGAAUCCCUUAAAGCCGGUCUCAGUUCGGAUCGGGGUCUGCAACUCGACCCCGUGAAGUUGGAGUCGCUAGUAAUCGCAGAUCAGCAACGCUGCGGUGAAUACGUUCCCGGGCCUUGUACACACCGCCCGUCACGUCAUGAAAGUCGGUAACACCCGAAGCCGG